CCUGAGAAACCCGAAAGAUCGAAUGGGGAGAUUCAUCGUCAGCGGGCCUUGGCGCGUGUACGGUUCGCGAUGCUCUGGGGACUUCGGUUCCUCGGCACGCGUCCGUAUGGUACUUUGCCAGGCUUCGUCGGCGUGCACUUCUCCCCUAGUAGGACGUCGCGACCCGUUGGGUGUCGGUUUACGGCCCGGGUGGGCGCCUGUCAUGCGUUUAGCUUAACGGCGACAUGUGGCAGACCCCCGGUUGUCUGACCAGCUGCUCGGCGGUACUCGCAUGGUAUCGAGCCGCAAAUAUUCGAACUGCGUCCGAACUGCCGCAAGCCUGGCCAGUGUUUCCCGGAUGGUACGGAUUUAGCGCCGCCACCGGGCCUGGUCGGCUGUUGGCCGGCGGUUUUCUUGGACAGGCUCUUGAUUUAUGAAUACCGGUCGGCGACGCUACUGCUUUGGGUACUUUCAGGA
Molecule: ribosomal RNA, 456 nt
Filed under: Metopius pollinctorius
Lineage: Eukaryota; Metazoa; Arthropoda; Insecta; Hymenoptera; Ichneumonidae
Description: partial 28S ribosomal RNA
Source: RNAcentral